RNAcentral lists this long non-coding RNA (351 nucleotides) under Rattus norvegicus (Norway rat). Its description in RNAcentral is "long non-coding RNA NONRATT026899". Lineage: Eukaryota; Metazoa; Chordata; Mammalia; Rodentia; Muridae. The record is from RNAcentral.
GGGAAGUUUAUUCCGCGACAACCUUUCGCUGAGUUCAUUUACAAACGAGUCAAGCAGCGAGACCAGACCUGCACACCUAUACCGGUGAAGCGUGCGCCCUACAAGGGAGAAGUCAUCACAUUGAAACCCAGAGAGACAAAAGAAGACGACACAGCUGGGACCAGGAUGCAGGGCCAUUCCUGAUUUGGAUGCUGGGGUUAAGCAAGUGCAAAGGUCAUUGUUCUGAUUUUGAGAUUGUUACGUGAGAUGUGAAUGCUUGGCCAUCACGGCGAAGGGCAAGUGUAACUUGAUACCAUUUUCUCAACUCUUUAUAACCCUGCCAACUUUCAAAAUAAAAAAAUUUAAAAAAUG